GUGCCAGCAGCCGCGGUAAUACGGGGGGUGCAAGCGUUACUCGGAAUCACUGGGCGUAAAGAGCAUGUAGGCGGAUUAAUAAGUUUGAAGUGAAAUCCUAUAGCUUAACUAUAGAACUGCUUUGAAAACUGUUAAUCUAGAAUGUGGGAGAGGUAGAUGGAAUUUCUGGUGUAGGGGUAAAAUCCGUAGAGAUCAGAAGGAAUACCGAUUGCGAAGGCGAUCUACUGGAACAUUAUUGACGCUGAGAUGCGAAAGCGUGGGAGCAAACAGGAUUAGAUACCCUGGUAGUCCACGCCCUAAACGAUGUACACUAGUUGUUGUGAGACUUGAUCUUGCAGUAAUGCAGUUAACACAUUAAGUGUACCGCCUGGGGAGUACGGUCGCAAGAUUAAAACUCAAAGGAAUAGACGGGGACCCGCACAAGCGGUGGAGCAUGUGGUUUAAUUCGACGAUACACGAAGAACCUUACCUGGACUUGACAUAGUAAGAACCUUCUAGAGAUAGAUUGGUGUCUGCUUGCAGAAACUUAUAUACAGGUGCUGCACGGCUGUCGUCAGCUCGUGUCGUGAGAUGUUGGGUUAAGUCCCGCAACGAGCGCAACCCUCGUGUUUAGUUGCUAACAGUUCGGCUGAGAACUCUAAACAGACUGCCUACGCAAGUAGGAGGAAGGUGAGGACGACGUCAAGUCAUCAUGGCCCUUACGUCCAGGGCUACACACGUGCUACAAUGGGAUAUACAAAGAGCGGCAAUACGGUGACGUGGAGCAAAUCUUAUAAAAUAUCUCCCAGUUCGGAUUGUAGUCUGCAACUCGACUACAUGAAGUUGGAAUC
RNAcentral lists this ribosomal RNA (830 nucleotides) under uncultured Arcobacter sp. Its description in RNAcentral is "SSU rRNA". It matches the Rfam family "Bacterial small subunit ribosomal RNA", at positions 505 to 1333 of the family's 1533-position model. The record is from RNAcentral. Lineage: Bacteria; Pseudomonadati; Campylobacterota; Epsilonproteobacteria; Campylobacterales; Arcobacteraceae.